Molecule: ribosomal RNA, 253 nt
Filed under: uncultured bacterium
Lineage: Bacteria
Description: partial 16S ribosomal RNA
Rfam family: Bacterial small subunit ribosomal RNA
Source: RNAcentral
UACGUAGGUGACCAGCGUUGUCCGGAUUUACUGGGCGUAAAGAGCGCGCAGGCGGUCGUUCAAGUCGAGUGUGAAAGCCCCCGGCUCAACUGGGGAGGGUCACUCGAUACUGAUCGACUUGAAGGCAGGAGAGGGAAGCGGAAUUCCCGGUGUAGUGGUGAAAUGCGUAGAUAUCGGGAAGAACACCCGUGGCGAAGGCGGCUCUCUGGGACGGUACUGACGCUGAGACGCGAAAGCGUGGGGAGCGAACAGG